Molecule: ribosomal RNA, 467 nt
Filed under: uncultured bacterium
Lineage: Bacteria
Description: partial 16S ribosomal RNA
Rfam family: Bacterial small subunit ribosomal RNA
Source: RNAcentral
GACGAACGCUGGCGGCGUGCUUAACACAUGCAAGUCGAACGGAAAGGCCUCUUUCGGGGGGUACUCGAGUGGCGAACGGGUGAGUAACACGUGAGUAACCUGCCCUUGACUUUGGGAUAACUUCAGGAAACUGGGGCUAAUACCGGAUAGGAGCUCCUGCUGCAUGGUGGGGGUUGGAAAGUUUCGGCGGUUGGGGAUGGACUCGCGGCUUAUCAGCUUGUUGGUGGGGUAGUGGCUUACCAAGGCUUUGACGGGUAGCCGGCCUGAGAGGGUGACCGGCCACAGUGGGACUGAGAGACGGCCCAGACUCCUACGGGAGGCAGCAGUGGGGAAUAUUGCACAAUGGGUGGAAGCCUGAUGCAGCAACGCCGUGUGCGGGAUGACGGCCUUCGGGUUGUAAACCGCUUUCGCUCAUGACGAAGCUUUGUGUGACGGUAGUGGGUAAAGAAGCACCGGCUAACUACGUG